Molecule: long non-coding RNA, 1975 nt
Filed under: Lynx pardinus (Iberian lynx)
Lineage: Eukaryota; Metazoa; Chordata; Mammalia; Carnivora; Felidae
Rfam family: mir-137 microRNA precursor family (bases 68-138)
Source: RNAcentral
GUGGCGGCGGCGGCAGUAGCAGCGGCAGCGGUAGCAGCGGCAGCAGCAGCUUGGUCCUCUGACUCUCUUCGGUGACGGGUAUUCUUGGGUGGAUAAUACGGAUUACGUUGUUAUUGCUUAAGAAUACGCGUAGUCGAGGAGAGUACCAGCGGCAGGCGGGCAGCGGCCGCCCCUUCAGCCCACCAGCUGGCCUCUAAACGCCUGUGGUUGCCAAGGUAGCACUUUUUUGAUCUUUUCCUUUCCUCGUUGUUUUCGCUCUGGGUCGCGUGUUAGUUGAUUAGUAGACACAUCCCACCAGAAAGGCUCUGCGCGCCCUGCCUCUGGUGACUGGGGCUGUAGAAUGGGUCCGCACAGGGGCGCGGGGGUCGAGGAGGAGGGGAGGGGCGGGGAAAGGAUGGGUGUCUGCUCAGCGGAGCCUGCGCGGAGUUUUGGCGUCCCCGGCCUGCUCUUUUCCUCUCCUCGCUGGGGUGUGGCUUGGGGGAGAGACGGGGACUGAGCGAGCCUCUAAAGUUGGGAAUGACUGAAAGGCCUUGAGCAGUUUGGCAGCUUCGCGAGCGAGAAGCAGGAGCUCCGCAGAGGGUCGCUAGGGGCUGCCUCCGCAGAAAGGGCGUGUCCGUGGGCGAAGGUGCCCCCGCAAGCUGCGGAAGCUCGUGACUUCGCGAAUCCCGGCCCGGGGCGGUGCCGGAGCCCCACCCCCGCGGCGGUGCCACUGCGCAGCUAGACGUGGAGACCCGGGCUGGGCACUGGGGGUGGGGGAGUGGGGGGGAGGGGGGGAGAAUGACAGAGGCCUGGGUCCGCGCAGAACUUCCAGAUUGGAAGCGUGUGGCGGGUCUCCUGAGGGACCCAUACUUUCUUUGCGGAUUCUCCGCGAAGGGGUGGAGAAACAGAAUGAGAAGCGGAUUGGUUGCGGUGUGGCACAGAGCUGGAACCUUCCUGAAAGUGGUUGGGGCAGGCAGUGACUGUUCAGCCGUCCAGUUUCUUUGGGACACCUCUUCAGCGCUGUCUUCCCUGCCUCUGCUUUUAGGACGAGUCUCAAACACCAACAAACCCAAGGCAUGUUCCCCCUCUCAGGUCUGCUGCGAAGGGACGAGAGGAAGAGCGAGCCUUUCCCUUUUACCACUUGCAGUUUUGUUUGUUUGUUUCGAAUACUAAUGGACGAUAAAACCAUACGGAUGUGCCCCCUCCUAGUGAAGAGCAAGCAACUACCCACCGAUCCCCCCCCAAGCACGCCCAGACACUCCCGGGGACAACCGGAUAUGGCAGGAGUUGAGAUGCCCAAGAUGGAGCUGGGAGAGUUGAUCCACCAUACAGGAGGAGGAGGGUCGAGGAGGCUGGAGCUCUCAGCUCUUGCCGGCAGCGGACCACGCAGCUCUGCACCUCUCCUUUCCUCCUUGCGAGGCGCCAGGGCCCUCCCGGUCGUGGCACUUCAAAGGUAGGAGGAGAAAAUGCUGGGGACAAGAAUACACAGGCGGCCAGAAGGUUCCACUAGGGUCAGCAAGAGCCUGCUGGGACUCUAAAUCCAGGUUUCCUCCCUGCGUGGUGCCGUCGGUGGUGCAAGGGAUGCGAAGACUGAAUUUCUGAGAAGUCGAAGCUGCAGGAGAAAACAAACAAAAACAACAAAAUGGGAAGCCUGCGACGCUCUCUCGCGCGGCGUUCCCAGACCAGCUCUAAGCUAAGCUACGCCCCAGACACCUUUUCCCUUUGGAGGACGCCUUUCCUGGGCGCGACGUGCACGUACCCGCACUGAGUUCUUGCCCACAAGGGCAGCUCUGAGCCCUGGAGAGCGAGGUGCUUCGAAGAAGGCAGGCACACUCGCAUGCUUUCCCAUGUAGAGCUUUGCGUUUCUUUUAGUACUUUGGAUUCCUAGUGAGGGGUACAAGGCGCCACUCCUCUCCUGACCCUAUUUCCACUACACCGCGUCUGAUCCCACAGUUACUCGCGGGGUAUCUACACUCACAGCUUUUGCGCUCAGGGA